This 251-nucleotide unclassified non-coding RNA is filed under the name plant metagenome. RNAcentral describes it as "partial contains small subunit ribosomal RNA, internal transcribed spacer 1, and 5.8S ribosomal RNA". The stretch from base 1 to 54 matches the Rfam family "Eukaryotic small subunit ribosomal RNA", at positions 1778 to 1831 of the family's 1831-position model. The record is from RNAcentral.
GGAAGUAAAAGUCAUAACAAGGUCUCCGUAGGUGAACCUGCGGAGGGAUCAUUACAGAGUUCAUGCCCUACCGGGUAGAUCUCCCACCCUAUGUUAUUAUUACUUUGUUGCUUUGGCGGGCCGUUAGGCUCCGGCCCGACUACCGGCCCCGGCUGGUAAGCGCCCGCCAGAGGACCCAAAACCCUGAAUAUUAGUGUCGUCUGAGUACUAUAUAAUAGUUAAAACUUUCAACAACGGAUCUCUUGGUUCUG